UACGGAAGGGGCUAGCGUUGUUCGGAAUUACUGGGCGUAAAGCGCGCGUAGGCGGCCGGACGAGUGAGGCGUGAAAGUCCUGGGCUCAACCCGGGGACGGCGCUUCAGACUGUCCGGCUGGAGUCCGGAAGAGGGUGGCGGAAUUCCGAGUGUAGAGGUGAAAUUCGUAGAUAUUCGGAGGAACACCGGUGGCGAAGGCGGCCACCUGGUCCGGUACUGACGCUCAAGUGCGAAAGCGUGGGGAGCAAACAGG
This 253-nucleotide ribosomal RNA is filed under the name uncultured bacterium. RNAcentral describes it as "partial 16S ribosomal RNA". It matches the Rfam family "Bacterial small subunit ribosomal RNA", at positions 524 to 776 of the family's 1533-position model. The record is from RNAcentral.